RNAcentral lists this ribosomal RNA (687 nucleotides) under Triticum aestivum (bread wheat). Its description in RNAcentral is "partial small subunit ribosomal RNA". The record is from RNAcentral. Lineage: Eukaryota; Viridiplantae; Streptophyta; Magnoliopsida; Poales; Poaceae.
AUGUGGGCCAUAUGGUGGGCGAGACGACGUGCUAUCCAUCAUGAUCAAUACCAAAGCCCCCUAAGCACCUCGGUUUUUGUCAAAAAGAUCCUGGAAGAUCUUGAUUUGGUGGCGGACAGCAAGCAGCGCCCGGCCAAGGACCGGCUUGCGAUACACAAGGACUUGCAUGUAACAGCUGAUAAUGCAAGGGCCAGAGUGAUUAUAUCGCCAUGGAUUCCCCCAGCCGAUUUCGACGUGAAAAUUAAUGCUGAUGGUGGGGUGUCAAGAUGUGGCAGAAGAGGUGUCGUGGCGGUCGUUUGCCGAGACAAGGCGGGAACUUUCUUGGGAGCAUCAGCGAGAGUUUUUGACGGCCUUACGAACCCAUCCUCGCUAGUGGCGCAAGCCUGCAAUGAGGCUCUUUCAUUGGCCGAGGACCUCAACCUGAAUGCUGUUUGUGUGGCAUCGGACUGCGCUGAGGUGAUCUCCAAGAUCGGGACGGAAGCUCCUUGCCACUAUACAACGAUACUCCGGGAGAUUAACCAUCGCACUGCUGUUUUUCAUAAUAUUCUCUUUGUUCAUGAAAAAAGGAAGUUUAAUUUUGAAGCACAUUCGCUUGCAAAAGCAGCUGUUUCUUUGUCUAGCGGGCGCCAUGUGUGGCUUGUUUCUACGCCCGAUAUCAUCUGUAUCUCUAUGAACAUCCAACUAUAA